This 492-nucleotide ribosomal RNA is filed under the name uncultured bacterium. Its description in RNAcentral is "partial 16S ribosomal RNA". It matches the Rfam family "Bacterial small subunit ribosomal RNA", at positions 29 to 507 of the family's 1533-position model. The record is from RNAcentral.
AGUGAACGCUGGCGGUAGGCCUAACACAUGCAAGUCGAACGGCAGCACAGUAAGAGCUUGCUCUUACGGGUGGCGAGUGGCGGACGGGUGAGGAAUACAUCGGAAUCUACUUUUUCGUGGGGGAUAACGUAGGGAAACUUACGCUAAUACCGCAUACGACCUACGGGUGAAAGCAGGGGAUCUUCGGACCUUGCGCGAUUGAAUGAGCCGAUGUCGGAUUAGCUAGUUGGCGGGGUAAAGGCCCACCAAGGCGACGAUCCGUAGCUGGUCUGAGAGGAUGAUCAGCCACACUGGAACUGAGACACGGUCCAGACUCCUACGGGAGGCAGCAGUGGGGAAUAUUGGACAAUGGGCGAGAGCCUGAUCCAGCCAUACCGCGUGGGUGAAGAAGGCCUUCGGGUUGUAAAGCCCUGUUGUUGGGAAAGAAAAGCAGCAGGUUAAUACCACGCUGUUCUGACGGUACCCAAAGAAUAAGCACCGGCUAACUUCGUG